This 253-nucleotide ribosomal RNA is filed under the name uncultured prokaryote. Its description in RNAcentral is "partial 16S ribosomal RNA". It matches the Rfam family "Bacterial small subunit ribosomal RNA", at positions 524 to 776 of the family's 1533-position model. The record is from RNAcentral.
UACAGAGGUCCCGAGCGUUGUUCGGAUUUAUUGGGCGUAAAGGGUGUGUAGGCGGCUGGGCAAGUCGGGUGUGAAAUCCCAUCGCUUAACGAUGGAAUGGCAUUCGAUACUGCUUGGCUAGAGGAUCGGAGGGGGAAGCGGAAUUCUUGGUGUAGCAGUGAAAUGCGUAGAUAUCAAGAGGAACACCGGUGGCGUAGGCGGCUUCCUGGAAGGUACCUGACUCUGAAACACGAAAGCUAGGGGAGCAAACGGG